AAAUUGAAGAGUUUGAUCAUGGCUCAGAUUGAACGCUGGCGGCAGGCCUAACACAUGCAAGUCGAACGGUAACAGGAAACAGCUUGCUGUUUCGCUGACGAGUGGCGGACGGGUGAGUAAUGUCUGGGAAACUGCCUGAUGGAGGGGGAUAACUACUGGAAACGGUAGCUAAUACCGCAUAACGUCGCAAGACCAAAGAGGGGGACCUUCGGGCCUCUUGCCAUCGGAUGUGCCCAGAUGGGAUUAGCUAGUAGGUGGGGUAACGGCUCACCUAGGCGACGAUCCCUAGCUGGUCUGAGAGGAUGACCAGCCACACUGGAACUGAGACACGGUCCAGACUCCUACGGGAGGCAGCAGUGGGGAAUAUUGCACAAUGGGCGCAAGCCUGAUGCAGCCAUGCCGCGUGUAUGAAGAAGGCCUUCGGGUUGUAAAGUACUUUCAG
This 442-nucleotide ribosomal RNA is filed under the name Escherichia coli. RNAcentral describes it as "bacterial SSU rRNA". It matches the Rfam family "Bacterial small subunit ribosomal RNA", at positions 1 to 439 of the family's 1533-position model. Lineage: Bacteria; Pseudomonadati; Pseudomonadota; Gammaproteobacteria; Enterobacterales; Enterobacteriaceae. The record is from RNAcentral.